AUACAGAGGGUGCGAGCGUUAAUCGGAAUUACUGGGCGUAAAGCGCGCGUAGGCGGCUUUGCAAGUCGGGUGUGAAAUCCCCAGGCUUAACCUGGGAACUGCAUUCGAGACUGCAUUGCUAGAGUAUGGGGAGAGGGAAGUGGAAUUUCAGGUGUAGCGGUGAAAUGCGUAGAUAUCUGAAGGAACAUCAGUGGCGAAAGCGACUUCCUGGACCAAUACUGACGCUCAUGUGCGAAAGCGUGGGGAGCAAACAGG
RNAcentral lists this ribosomal RNA (255 nucleotides) under uncultured bacterium. RNAcentral's name for it is "partial 16S ribosomal RNA". It matches the Rfam family "Bacterial small subunit ribosomal RNA", at positions 523 to 776 of the family's 1533-position model. The record is from RNAcentral.